UACGAAGGGGGCUAGCGUUGCUCGGAAUCACUGGGCGUAAAGGGCGCGUAGGCGGCCAUUCAAGUCGGGGGUGAAAGCCUGUGGCUCAACCACAGAAUUGCCUUCGAUACUGUUUGGCUUGAGUAUGGUAGAGGUUGGUGGAACUGCGAGUGUAGAGGUGAAAUUCGUAGAUAUUCGCAAGAACACCGGUGGCGAAGGCGGCCAACUGGACCAUUACUGACGCUGAGGCGCGAAAGCUUGGGUAGCGAACGGG
Molecule: ribosomal RNA, 253 nt
Filed under: uncultured bacterium
Lineage: Bacteria
Description: partial 16S ribosomal RNA
Rfam family: Bacterial small subunit ribosomal RNA
Source: RNAcentral